AGAAUAUCAGGUUGAAUAUUCUUGGUGGAACCAGAGCAAAUGACUGCAAUGACACAGAGCAAGACUUUUUCCUCCUCCUCCCAACCCACCAGCUUAAGUUGAAAUGACAAAGGACUCUUGGUUUUAGACUGAAGAGGUUGGACCUUUGAAUGCCUGAACUGCAUGAAGGACAUAAGGAGUGUGUGUGUGUGUGUGUGUGUGUGUGUAAGAAGCAGGGGUAGGAUUUAGAAGAUGGAGAUGGGUGAAGAGCUGACUGUUGAAAGUGGAGGUGGAAGGGGCUGUGUUGAGAAGGAGCACCUUGAGACUUGUGAUUUACACAGGCUGAGUGGAGCCCAAGUGAUAAAAUGUGGAACAGUUGGGGAAAGGGCAACAGAAGGCCCGGGACAUUCAGCACAGCCCCAGCGAGUGACAGUGUGAGAUGCUUCUCUGGGUGACUCAUAGGCGGCAGACAGCAAAGAGACACCAGCAGAUUAAUGGCCUUGUUCUUCGGAUCUCCAGAGAACUUUCCCAGAGAUGCCUAGAAAUCAACAAGGGAUAUUCGGAAUGAGAACAGGAAAAAGCUGUGGCCCCACAGUUGUGCAGGUUCACAUCCUCUGUGAGGUCAUACUGCUGCAGCAGGUCACGCGUCCAAUGCAAACCAGAAGCGAGCUAUUCCUUCCUCAGUUAACUAGUUACAGAACUCUACAUGAAGAUGUGGGGGCUAGACAGACAGGGAACACUGCAACAGGAGUUACUAUAUUAGGAGUGUGAGCCACCAGCUCUUAACACUUGUUCAUGUCGACAGAACAUGAGUAGGUCUAAUCUCCUAUAUGCCAUUUCCACCUGAUGAUGGAAGACAACAUUAGUGCCUGGUGGAGCAGAAAAUACCUAUGUCAUCCCUGAAGACCAGGUUCACGAGAUCAGAUUUUCUAUGUCUGCAUGCGUAUGUGCUAGGUCAUGUUUGACUCUUUGUGACCCCAGGGACUAUAUAGCCCGCCAGGCUCCUCUGUCCUGAGAUUCUCCAGACAAGAACACUGGAGUGGGGUUGCCAUUUCCUACUCCAAGUUUCUAUAUCUAACAGGGCCCAUUAGCAUGCCAAGGGCAGUUUCUUAAUAGCAGAGUAUUUAUUUGCUUCCAAACACUACAAGCUUGCUUUGUAUAUGAUGCUCCUCUAAAUGUUUGCUAUAAGCUACACAGGGCAUCCCAAAUUGCCACAGGCGUUUCAAGCACCAUUGGAGCUGCUGGCUCAUAAAGACUAAACGACAGGGCUUUGCAGUGAAGCUGGGUCUUACUCUUGGCUUCAUUCAUACCUAGUAACUUUAGGGGUUACCUCAGUAAAUAGAUUCCAAACGCAGGCUAUAUUGUCUCCAAAAUUCAAAGUGACCCAGAGUGCAAUGUGCCUCCUUCUUAGAAGUACUUUGGAGGGGACACCCCCUCACAUCUCAGAUCACUAGUCCCCCAAGAACCUUCCCCAAAGUGGUUGGCCUUGACUUCUCUUUGCGUCUUCCUCCUACUUUCAAAUCUCAUAUUUCUUACAAGGCCAUCUAGAGUACCUGCAACUCCCUAGUUAACUGGUCCUGCCAUCAUGAAGUCAUCAAUGAAAUAGGCCAGAGCAUUUUCCUUUGAGGUGGUGAAAUAAGAAAGAACCUGCACAAUAAAGGUAGAGAUGGUGAAAAUAUUAUAAUCCUU
Long non-coding RNA from Bos mutus (wild yak), 1668 nucleotides. NCBI's taxonomy places the organism in Eukaryota, Metazoa, Chordata, Mammalia, Artiodactyla, Bovidae. The record is from Ensembl.